CUCUGACUGUUAAUGACUCCAUUACACUUAAGCUGUUGAUUUCUCAAAUGAAUUGUUUGAUAUUUGUCAUGCCUUAUUGUUGAAGGCAGUACGGUCGUCUAUAUAAUUGCUAAUAUCCACUUUAUUCGAACUUUGGUAAUCAUACCACAUCUUCUUAUUUUAUAAGAAAACCCCAUGACGACAAAGAUGAAUCGGAAACAAUAAUGACAGCUAUUUCAGUAAAACAAAGUGCUGUUACUCGGGACAUUUUCUGUAAUCUUGGACAUUCCUAUGAUCGUCUAUGAAAUUCAAUGGAUUUGUUCGAUUUCGGAAGAUCCUUUUUGGAUAUUCUAUUCUAUAUUAAUACUGCAAGAGAUAUGUUUUAACUAAGACAGGGAUAGGGGUGUCCCUGGCCAAAAACGAAUGCAGAUACAAGUUAAAUUUGCGAAGACGAUCUUAUUAAUAAGUUGAUUAUCAACCUUCGAGAUACCCAGUCGAUAAGAUUAAAACUAAGAGAACUUUCGGAGAAGAAUAAAGAGUAAUAUGUGGGUUUUGAGUGCAACAUGGGUUCUUCAUCAUUCUAAGAUUACUUCAAGAUACACUCUUAGUAGACAAAAUGAUGUAAAGCACUAAGAUUGCUUCAUGAUUACGGCUUCUGAACUAC
This 643-nucleotide long non-coding RNA is filed under the name Mytilus galloprovincialis (Mediterranean mussel). Lineage: Eukaryota; Metazoa; Mollusca; Bivalvia; Mytilida; Mytilidae. The record is from RNAcentral.